UACGGGGGGGGCAAGCGUUGUCCGGAAUCAUUGGGCGUAAAGCGCGUGUAGGCGGUCCGGUAAGUCCGCUGUGAAAGUCGAGGGCUCAACCCUCGAAUGCCGGUGGAUACUGUCGGGCUUGAGUACGGGAGAGGCGAGUGGAAUUCCUGGUGUAGCGGUGAAAUGCGCAGAUAUCAGGAGGAACACCGAUUGCGAAGGCAGCUCGCUGGAACGUUACUGACGCUGAGACGCGAAAGCGUGGGGAGCAAACAGG
Molecule: ribosomal RNA, 253 nt
Filed under: uncultured bacterium
Lineage: Bacteria
Description: partial 16S ribosomal RNA
Rfam family: Bacterial small subunit ribosomal RNA
Source: RNAcentral